This 154-nucleotide ribosomal RNA is filed under the name Pilaira anomala. RNAcentral describes it as "5.8S ribosomal RNA". It matches the Rfam family "5.8S ribosomal RNA". From Rfam's summary of the family: 5.8S ribosomal RNA (5.8S rRNA) is a component of the large subunit of the eukaryotic ribosome. It is transcribed by RNA polymerase I as part of the 45S precursor that also contains 18S and 28S rRNA. Functionally, it is thought that 5.8S rRNA may be involved in ribosome translocation. Lineage: Eukaryota; Fungi; Mucoromycota; Mucoromycetes; Mucorales; Mucoraceae. RNAcentral also lists the same sequence under 5 other names. The record is from RNAcentral.
CAACUUUUAACAACGGAUCUCUUGGUUCUCGCAUCGAUGAAGAACGUAGCAAAGUGCGAUAACUAGUGUGAAUUGCAUAUUCAGUGAAUCAUCGAGUCUUUGAACGCAUCUUGCGCUCAUUGGUAUUCCAAUGAGCACGCCUGUUUCAGUAUCA